This 429-nucleotide ribosomal RNA is filed under the name Fusobacteriota bacterium. Its description in RNAcentral is "Fusobacteria bacterium partial 16S ribosomal RNA". It matches the Rfam family "Bacterial small subunit ribosomal RNA", at positions 355 to 776 of the family's 1533-position model. The record is from RNAcentral. Lineage: Bacteria; Fusobacteriati; Fusobacteriota.
UGGGGAAUAUUGCGCAAUGGGCGAAAGCCUGACGCAGCGACGCCGCGUGAGGGAUGAAGGUUUUCGGAUCGUAAACCUCUGUCAGAAGGGAAGAAACCGCACUGUGCUAAUCAGCAGUGCCUUGACGGUACCUUCAAAGGAAGCACCGGCUAACUCCGUGCCAGCAGCCGCGGUAAUACGGAGGGUGCAAGCGUUAAUCGGAAUUACUGGGCGUAAAGCGCACGUAGGCUGCUUUGUAAGUCAGGGGUGAAAUCCCACGGCUCAACCGUGGAACUGCCUUGGAUACUGGGUAGCUUGAAGCCGGGAGAGGGUGGCGGAAUGCCAGGUGUAGGAGUGAAAUCCGUAGAUAUCUGGAGGAACAUCAGUGGCGAAGGCGGCCACCUGGACCGGUAUUGACGCUGAGGUGCGAAAGCGUGGGGAGCAAACAGG